GCAUCUCAUCUCCUAGUGAGAAAUGAGGAAAAAUACCUCUGGGUUAAAUGGCAGGAAUGAGAUGCUCUGUGGACUGAAUGCCAGGAACUGGAAGUUUGCCCAUAUUUCAUCAUCACAUGAGAACCUUCCUAGAAUAGAUCCAGUGUCCCUGCCCCCUGGGUCAUAGGUAGCGGAAUUCAGUUAAUCCUUGGCAUUGGCAUAGAGAAACAAGUUACUGGGGAGGCCUGGGGCAUGGCAUCCCUGCCAGCUGGCAGGAGGAGGUGGCUUGUGUGCCUUGCAGGUGACAGUGUGGGCAGCUCAUGAAGGUAGGCUUGAAGCCCCAGGCAAGCCCAGUGACCCGGUCACAGUGAAGUGCCUGUGUGUGUAAGAAACUGACAGAGUGUGCUGUCCCUGCCUCCUACUCUUUCACAUGUGUAGAUCGUAGCUGGGGUGAACUACUUCUUGGACGUGGAGCUGGGCCGAACCACGUGUACCAAGACCCAGCCCAACUUGGACAACUGCCCCUUCCAUGACCAGCCACAUCUGAAAAGGAAAGCAUUCUGCUCUUUCCAGAUCUACGCUGUGCCUUGGCAGGGCACAAUGACCUUGUCGAAAUCCACCUGUCAGGAUGCCUAGGGGUCUGUACCGGGCUGGCCUGUGCCUAUCACCUCUUACGCACACCUCCCACCGCCUGUAUUCCCACCCCUGGACUGGUGGCCCCAGCCUUGGGGAAGGUCUCCCCAUGUGCCUGCACCAGGAGACAGACAGAGAAGGCAGCAGGCGGCCUUUGUUGCUCAGCAAGGGGCUCUGCCCUCCCUCCUUCCUUCUUGCUUCUCAUAGCCCCGGUGUGCGGUGCAUACACCCCCACCUCCUGCAAUAAAACAGUAGCAUCGGCUCCCUCUGAGUUCUUGGCUGUCUGGGGAUGUGCACACAGGCAGGGUUUCCGCAGUUCCUUUAUGAAGCCUCCUUGUCCUGCUGGUGUGAAGAUGAGAGGAGUACCUGG
Molecule: long non-coding RNA, 982 nt
Filed under: Pan troglodytes (chimpanzee)
Lineage: Eukaryota; Metazoa; Chordata; Mammalia; Primates; Hominidae
Description: long non-coding RNA NONPTRT009179
Source: RNAcentral